CUAACACAUGCAAGUCGAACGGUAACAGGAAGAAGCUUGCUUCUUUGCUGACGAGUGGCGGACGGGUGAGUAAUGUCUGGGAAACUGCCUGAUGGAGGGGGAUAACUACUGGAAACGGUAGCUAAUACCGCAUAACGUCGCAAGACCAAAGAGGGGGACCUUCGGGCCUCUUGCCAUCGGAUGUGCCCAGAUGGGAUUAGCUAGUAGGUGGGGUAACGGCUCACCUAGGCGACGAUCCCUAGCUGGUCUGAGAGGAUGACCAGCCACACUGGAACUGAGACACGGUCCAGACUCCUACGGGAGGCAGCAGUGGGGAAUAUUGCACAAUGGGCGCAAGCCUGAUGCAGCCAUGCCGCGUGUAUGAAGAAGGCCUUCGGGUUGUAAAGUACUUUCAGCGGGGAGGAAGGGAGUAAAGUUAAUACCUUUGCUCAUUGACGUUACCCGCAGAAG
RNAcentral lists this ribosomal RNA (450 nucleotides) under Escherichia coli. Its description in RNAcentral is "bacterial SSU rRNA". It matches the Rfam family "Bacterial small subunit ribosomal RNA", at positions 48 to 487 of the family's 1533-position model. The record is from RNAcentral. Lineage: Bacteria; Pseudomonadati; Pseudomonadota; Gammaproteobacteria; Enterobacterales; Enterobacteriaceae.